GACGAACGCUGGCGGCGUGCUUAACACAUGCAAGUCGAACGGUGAAGCGCUUUCCUUUUUGGCGGGUGUGGAUGAGUGGCGAACGGGUGAGUAACACGUGAGUAACCUGCCCCCUCCUUCUGGAUAACCGCAUGAAAGUGUGGCUAAUACGGGAUAUCCUGGGUCUGUCGCAUGAUGGGUCUGGGAUAGAUAUUGUUUCGGUGGGGGCUGGGCUCGCGGCCUAUCAGCUUGUGGGUGGUGUGAUGGCCUACGAAGGCGGUGACGGGUAGCCGGCCUGGGAGGGUGGCCGGUCUGGGUGGGAGAGAGAGCCGGCCCAGCCUCGUGAGGGAGCAGGAGGGAGGGAUUGUUGAACGAUGGGAGCAAGACUGAGGCAGGGACGCCGCGUGAAGGAGGGAGGCGGUCGGGUUAUGAACGUCUUAAGCGAAGGAAGGGGGCCUGCCUGGUUUGUGGAUGCUUUGACGGUAGCUUACUAAGAAGAGCCGGCUAACUACGUG
This 494-nucleotide ribosomal RNA is filed under the name uncultured bacterium. RNAcentral's name for it is "partial 16S ribosomal RNA". It matches the Rfam family "Bacterial small subunit ribosomal RNA", at positions 28 to 507 of the family's 1533-position model. The record is from RNAcentral.